RNAcentral lists this long non-coding RNA (1532 nucleotides) under Sus scrofa (pig). RNAcentral describes it as "lncRNA (ENSSSCG00030013261.1)". Lineage: Eukaryota; Metazoa; Chordata; Mammalia; Artiodactyla; Suidae. The record is from RNAcentral.
GGAGUUUUAUAGUAAAAAGGAGAAAAACAGAUUUUCAGAUAAGAAUCAGGAUUGGGACAAACAUGCAUUCUUCUUUCUUUGGGGGAAUCUUAGUCGUCAAAGCUGGAGUCAGGAGAUCUCAGUGUGAUCAUGAUGGUGGCCUUCUGGGUUAUUGCCUAGAAUAACAGUACUUGUGAAAAGGGUGUAUUGAUCAGAGAUUAGAACAAACCAGGAAAGUUCCUGAAAAACAACAUGUGCUGAUAAUCUUUAACCCAGAGGCAAUUGUGUUCAGGGUGGCUAAUCUUUAGCUGACCCGUGAUUGUGUUUAGGGUCCAAUUAAGCCAGGGAGAAGGACAAGGAAGGGCUCUAAGCUGUCCUUGACUGUUCCUCCUUUGUCUCUGCAUCCCCUCCCUUCCCUGAUCAGCAACUGUCUGAACCUGUCCCUAGGAAUUCAGGGAAGGUCAUGGUGGCUGAAUAUGGCCCAUUACCUAAGAACAAGAAAUGAGGGACACAGAAAGGCUUUCAUGCUCAGGAGCCCCACAGGGCCACACUCAGUUUCAAAGGCAAGGUUAGGAAAACAAACAAAGGAAUAAAAAACAAAUGAUAUAAGAAAAAAAGAUCAUGAUGACACUCCAUGAUAAAUGCAUGACAAAAUCUAAUCUUUCUAGCACAGUGGUGGCUCAGGAGCCAUUUGAAGGCUACUAUCUUUCAGAAGGAUUUUAUGACGUUAUCUCCCUUAACAUGUUGGAAUCAAAAGGAAUAAAGUACCUGUGCAAAGAUUUUCCUUCAGGCACUUCUCUCUCUAGUCCACAAUUAAAUAAUAAUGUGACACAAAAGAAAAUAGUGAUGACAGAUAAGGGCUGUCACAAAUGAGUGUAAUAUCCCAAAGCAAGACAUUAAGAUUAAAAACAAACAAACAAAAAAACCUUAGCCUUAUUUAUAUAUAUACACUAGAGCAAUAGGGUUCCAUUAUCACCCGGGCUGUAUAGUUUCCCUUUUAAACAAAUUAUUAUAUAAGAUUUUGUUUUGCACAUGUAGACACCACUGCAUGCUAUGACAUUUGUAGGAUGGAAUGCCUUUCAGUUUUUCACGAUAUUUAUUUUGUUUUGGUCACAUAAAAAAGACUUUAAGGAAAGUGCUAGAGGAUAGGUUUGAAUUCAUUCUCCUGUUGAUUUUGUUGACAGUGAUAAUUUCUCAACUACAUGGUUAUAACCAUGGGAUUAUAAAACUGAAAGAUAUUCCACUUAUCAUCUAAUACAAUCCUCUAUUUUACAAAUGCGGAAAUUGGGCAAGUUUCAGUGACUUUCUCAGGGUCACAUAACUAGCUAUAAAAAUAUCACAGGUGGGAGUUCCCAUCAUGGCUCAGCGGUCACAAAUCCAACUAGUAUCCAUGAGGAAGCAGAUUUGAUCCCUGGCCCUGCUCAGUGGGAUAAGGAUCCAGCAUUGCUAUAAGCUGUGGUGUAGGUUGCAGAUGUGGCUCGGAUCUGACAUGCUGUAGCUGUGGCAUAGGCUGGCAGCUACAGCUCAGAUUUGGGCCCUAGCCUGGGAAUUUC